UCUAUACCAGUAAUGUUUUGGAACCAACUAUAUACCAGGCCAGUUCACCCUUGAUACUGUGUCCAAAUCCAUCUCCCCACUUCUCCAUGCUGGGAAACAGUGAGCAGUCUGAAGAAGCUAAAUCUGGGCACUCUGUAAUCCUUAAUCAUCUCAAGAAUUUGACUGUAUGUCUUGUCUCACUCAAAGUAUAAGUACUCCACUUCUCUGCUUUGUGGGUCCAAAAAUUCGUUCUACUACAACAAUGGAACCUAUAAUAACCAUCCUCAGGCACUACAUCAACAUACAAAUGCAAAGGGGAAAUGUCCAUAGCUCCUAUGAUGUUCAGACAAUCUAUCCUUUGAAUCUUUUCCAAGUUCAGAACUUCACAUCUUUAGAAAAAUCCUUUUUUCAUCAAAUAACAGCAGCAUAAAUAAUAAUGAAUCUCAUAACCAUGGUUUAAGUCUCUAUAUUUUAACUCAAAAUACCUCUACAAAUUCAUAACUUUACGGACUUUCAUAACAAUAAAUUAUGUCCGUGAUUUCCAAGUCAUU
Molecule: long non-coding RNA, 530 nt
Filed under: Androctonus crassicauda
Lineage: Eukaryota; Metazoa; Arthropoda; Arachnida; Scorpiones; Buthidae
Source: RNAcentral